RNAcentral lists this ribosomal RNA (549 nucleotides) under Penicillium chrysogenum. RNAcentral's name for it is "eukaryotic LSU rRNA". The stretch from base 182 to 334 matches the Rfam family "5.8S ribosomal RNA". Lineage: Eukaryota; Fungi; Ascomycota; Eurotiomycetes; Eurotiales; Aspergillaceae. The record is from RNAcentral.
CAUUACCGAGUGAGGGCCCUCUGGGUCCAACCUCCCACCCGUGUUUAUUUUACCUCGAAGCUUCGGCGGGCCCGCCUUAACUGGCCGCCGGGGGGCUCACGCCCCCGGGCCCGCGCCCGCCGAAGACACCCUCGAACUCUGUCUGAAGAUUGUAGUCUGAGUGAAAAUAUAAAUUAUUUAAAACUUUCAACAACGGAUCUCUUGGUUCCGGCAUCGAUGAAGAACGCAGCGAAAUGCGAUACGUAAUGUGAAUUGCAAAUUCAGUGAAUCAUCGAGUCUUUGAACGCACAUUGCGCCCCCUGGUAUUCCGGGGGGCAUGCCUGUCCGAGCGUCAUUGCUGCCCUCAAGCCCGGCUUGUGUGUUGGGCCCCGUCCUCCGAUCCCGGGGGACGGGCCCGAAAGGCAGCGGCGGCACCGCGUCCGGUCCUCGAGCGUAUGGGGCUUUGUCACCCGCUCUGUAGGCCCGGCCGGCGCUUGCCGAUCAACCCAAAUUUUUAUCCAGGUUGACCUCGGAUCAGGUAGGGAUACCCGCUGAACUUAAGCAUAUCAA